UUGCCUAGCAAGCCUCCAGCUUCAAGCGAUUGACGGCGAUCUGGAUUCCGUCUGGAUUAGAGCAGUGCAGCAGGAAGAGGAUCAGGGGGUGGUGGUGGUCCAGGCCAUGGGGGCGGGGAGGUCGGACGGGGAGAGGAGAGAUAGCCCUAAGGACGAGGUCCUCGCCGGCUGAAUCGAAUCGAGAAUUCGUCAGCUCCUCCCACCCCUGCGGUCACAUCUCUCUCGGAGAUCCUCUUCAACCCGGAGUUCCUCGUGGAGGGCACCCGCUCACCCCGGCGUGUGGAGAGGAGGUAGGCCGCCCCUCCUUGCGGGCGUCGCUGGAGGAGACAGGGCGCGCGGGAACAUCGGAUGUGGAACAACUGCUGCCAUGGUCCUCAUCCGGCCUUAAUUUCAAGAUACGGUGUAGGUGUAGUGGACUAGGAUGGGAAGGGAGGAGGCCGUGGCCAAGGAGGAAGAGCAGCGGGGCGAUGGGGACCUGCAAUGUGGGAACGAAGGUGUGCACUGGUCGACACCCCAUCGUGGGGAAGACAAGAGGUGUAGGUUCCGAUCUGAUCCUGUGACUAGAAGUAGCCGGGAGCUGCAAGGGCAAGUCAAAGAUGAGUGUGGUUCGGUUCAGUUUAGGCAACAAGAGCUGCAUUGUGAUCAUGGCACGGUAACUUGUCGUCGACAUGGUUCUCAGUGAGUAAUCCAUAUGGGAGACCCCUGCCAUUGUCUUCUUUAGUGACAAGCAGUGGUUCAUCGGCACUGCAAGCACUGCGAACUCCAGCAUGAACCCAAAGACUUUAAGUUUCUUUUAAGUUCUAUUCUAAUAGUACAUGUCUAGAUUUCAUCUAUCAUGCAUGUCACCGACCACAACAUCCCAACUGAGCUCAUCGACCAGCUGCGCAACGCCGGCACUACCAAGAACAAGGAGGUGUAUGCUAAACAAUUCAUCACAUCUCCUGUUGUUGAACUGCCUAUUAUGCAAAUUAUUGGCAUGUUUUCUUGUGGGUUUGUUUUGCCUCAAUGGUACUAUUCUUCUGGAAGAUUUUGUUUCAAGUUUGCAGUUCGAUUUACAAACAUGAAGAUAUAAGGAUGGGAGAUCAACAUAUUCAUGUUUUCUCUGGUAAAUGUGAAGUUCCGGUCUAUCAAAAAAGCGGCUAAUGUCUAGCAAUCUGCAGCAAGAACUUUAUCCACUCAUCUGGUCCAACUUACACCCAUGGAAUUCCCCAUCCACAUCUCUCUGUUCGUGAAAGCAAUUGCUGGAUUUGUAUGGUAAGAGUGGUCCCGUACAUGCAUUCUAUUGGCUACUAAAUUAAUUAAUUUCCCGCGAAUUCCAAUAGAAUAUAAUUAGGAGGGCAAGUAAUUAUCGGUGAUAACUACUUAGUUUAUUUUUGUAGGCGUGAUUGUAGUCUUAGAUCUUUGUAGGAUUUUGCAAUGUGGCUCAGAUUUGUUGUCUGAACCUAGAUGUUAGCUUUGAUGUCUGAAUAUAGGUAUUUUGCAGAUCUUCUGUCCUUACUUUACUUAAAGUCUUCAGAAACAAUGAUGUUAUGUCUGAAA
This is a non-coding RNA of Aegilops tauschii subsp. strangulata, 1539 nucleotides long. The record is from RefSeq and is a predicted model, not a curated record. Lineage: Eukaryota; Viridiplantae; Streptophyta; Magnoliopsida; Poales; Poaceae.